Long non-coding RNA from Leguminivora glycinivorella, 751 nucleotides. RefSeq lists it as uncharacterized. NCBI's taxonomy places the organism in Eukaryota, Metazoa, Arthropoda, Insecta, Lepidoptera, Tortricidae. The record is from RefSeq and is a predicted model, not a curated record. The transcript has 2 exons.
UUGUAUUUUUCACCAUGAACUGUGAGUAGAGUUCAGUUGAAUAAUAUUGUGUUAACUUCUUUGUGUGAUCUUGGCUUUGUCAAGUUUUGACCAUGUGUCUCUGUUUCCAGUCUCCUGAUGGUUUAUGUGGCGGGAAGGGUUUGUCAGAGCUGCGAAUGAUGAGGCUUCUCAAGUUCCAGCUGGUAAGCAAUCCAGAAUAUUAAAUAUUCAUAUGAUAAGGUUAGGCCACAUUUCCAUUGUCUAAUGAAGGUUUUUUUCUAUUUCAGCUGACUGGGAUUUAUCAGAUUUAAUUUAUUUUACAUUUUAGAUUUUAAAUUUAUUUGUGGUUAAAUUUGAUUGUUUCACCCAAAGGGGUUUCGGUGAAGAGGAUGCUUGCCGUAGGCUGAAGCUUUGGUUGCGGUGGUGCUCUUUUGAAUUACUGCGCCUGGGGCAACCGCUUUGGCUCACUGAAGGAUGGCUUGCAUGUGCAGCGGUAACUUCUGGCUUGAAGGUUGGUGGCAUUUCUCUUUCCUGGAAGCAAGUGUUAAAUUUAGUUAAAUUUAGUUUCUAUCAUCUAUGUUGGCACUGAUACUUAGGGACUAACCAGUUUUAGGCAAUGCUUGUAAAUCACUCGGAACCAUAUUUGCACGGCCCAGCUCUAUCGUCUGGCAAUGUUCAUUUAGUUAAGGUGCUAAGCUUAAGCUUUUAUUGCUGAUUUACAAGCUGUACUUUGCAUUGUGUCCUUUCAUCAAAAUAAAACUGUGUGUCACAA